Molecule: long non-coding RNA, 1187 nt
Organism: Vigna unguiculata (cowpea)
Lineage: Eukaryota; Viridiplantae; Streptophyta; Magnoliopsida; Fabales; Fabaceae
Source: RefSeq, a predicted model, not a curated record
AUGAAUGGCUUUUGGAUGUGAAUGCAAAAGAUAGAUCUAUUCUAUACUUGGAGUGGCAUGUUUCUUUAGGACUAUGGUUUGGACGACUCACUGCAAUUGCAAGUAAUUUUUGGGUGAUGACAUUGAAGAAUUUGGUUGCUACUUGUCCAAUCCAUAGUUUUAAAGGAAUCAACCACUCCAUAAUUUUGGUUUCUGACAGAUGAGGUUCAUGCUAGGUAUCCUCUAUGUCACACACACACAUGUUAGAUUUAUAGAAAGUGUUUCAUCAGGAAUAUACAACAUCAACGAGAUCUGAGCCCAAUCACAUAAGACAUUGACACCACUCUCAACCCAAAAUCUCAAGAUAAUAGUUUUAUGAAUCUUUAUUCUCUUAUAUAAUGUUCUAUUUUUUCAUUUCUAACCAAUAUAAAACUUAUACUCACACUUAAAUUUUUAACAAUAUACGGUCAGAUCACUGAAGGUGUCGUAUCAAUGUCGAAAUCUUAAGCCAACAAAAAGACUACGUUUGAGAAAAAACACUGCAUUAUCAGCAGUAUGUCUCUGUCAUGAAAUAGGCACAAAAUAUGAUUUUAACAUUGAAUUAGUAAGAAUUGCAUAAAAUAAGAAUGAUCAAAGAAAAGAAAACACAAAAAUACAGGUUAAUCAGAUCAAGUAAUUGAAAGAGGGUACAGAACAAGUUCAAUGAUUUAAAAGCCAAUUACUUUGACACAAUAUUGAUUGAUAGGCAUCUCACGAGCAGAACCAACCAACCAACAGUUGUUACAACCUACGAAACAAAGACUGAUUGAAGCAAAUAGUUCAAUAUUGCUAUUCUACAUAAUGGAAUUUGACAAGAAAUGAAGAGAGAGAUAAAGAAGAAUACAAGCAUGGCCUCUGUAUACAUUAAAAGAGAAGACACUGGAGUUGCUCUGAAUCCCUUGAAAGCAUAACUUUGGAGAAGAAGUUCACUGGUUUUUCCUCUCCAUCAUCCUCCAAAAAUAAAUGAGUCACCCAGAAGGGUACUUGGAUUCUGAUCAUUCACAAAAAUUUUCAACUUGAAAAGUUUAAAUUCUUCUGACCUAAUUUUCAAAUUAAACACAACUUGGUGUUCAGAGAUGUAAAGCUUUAGACUCUCUUAAAGGAAUUUCAAAAGUGCAGUACACAAUUGUAUAGUUUCACAAAUAAAGCUUCUUAGUUACCUUGUACAA